Molecule: non-coding RNA, 107 nt
Organism: Gossypium hirsutum (cotton)
Lineage: Eukaryota; Viridiplantae; Streptophyta; Magnoliopsida; Malvales; Malvaceae
Source: Rfam
AGCUCAAGAUGAGGGAACCUUCUUAAAAAAUCCUUAAAUCUCUCUCAUGUAUCAUACAAUGUCUCAAACUCAAAUUGAGAAAAAAAAUAGAUGUCAUUCCUCAACUU